Molecule: ribosomal RNA, 524 nt
Filed under: uncultured bacterium
Lineage: Bacteria
Description: partial 16S ribosomal RNA
Rfam family: Bacterial small subunit ribosomal RNA
Source: RNAcentral
GACGAACGCUGGCGGCGUGCCUAAUACAUGCAAGUCGAGCGCAGGAAACUGACGGAACUCUUCGGAGGGAAGGCAGUGGAAUGAGCGGCGGACGGGUGAGUAACACGUAAGGAACCUGCCUCAAGGAUUGGGAUAACUCCGAGAAAUCGGAGCUAAUACCGGAUAGUUCAUCGGACCGCAUGGUCCGUUGAUGAAAGGCGCUCCGGCGUCACCUUGAGAUGGCCUUGCGGUGCAUUAGCUAGUUGGGGGGGUAACGGCCCACCAAGGCGACGAUGCAUGGCCGACCUGAGAGGGGGAUCGGCCACACUGGGACUGAGACACGGCCCAGACUCCUACGGGAGGCAGCAGUAGGGAAUCUUCCACAAUGGACGAAAGUCUGAUGGAGCAACGCCGCGUGAGUGAUGAAGGUUUUCGGAUCGUAAAACUCUGUUGUAAGGGAAGAACACGUACGAGAGGAAAUGCUCGUACCUUGACGGUACCUUACGAGAAAGCCACGGCUAACUACGUGCCAGCCGCCGCCGUAA